UUCCGGUUGAUCCCGCCGGACCUGACUGCUAUCGGAUUGAUACUAAGCCAUGCGAGUCAUUGUAGCAAUACAAGGCAGACGGCUCAGUAACGCGUAGUCAACCUAACCUAUGGACGGGAAUAACCUCGGGAAACUGAGAAUAAUGCCCGAUAGAACACUAUAUCUGGAAUGGUUUGUGUUCCAAAUGAUUUAUCGCCGUAGGAUGGGACUGCGGCCUAUCAGUUUGUUGGUGAGGUAAUGGCCCACCAAGACUAUUACAGGUACGGGCUCUGAGAGGAGUAGCCCGGAGAUGGGUACUGAGACACGGACCCAGGCCCUAUGGGGCGCAGCAGGCGAGAAAACUUUGCAAUGUGCGAAAGCACGACAAGGUUAAUCCGAGUGGUUUCUGCUAAAGGAACCUUUUGUCGGUCCUAGAAACACCGAUGAAUAAGGGGUGGGCAAGUUCUGGUGUCAGCCGCCGCGGUAAAACCAGCACCUCAAGUGGUCAGGAUGAUUAUUGGGCCUAAAGCAUCCGUAGCCUGCUUUGUUAGUUUUCGGUUAAAUCUAUACGCUCAACGUAUAGGCUGCCGGGAAUACUGCAAAGCUAGGGAGUGGGAGAGGUAGACGGUACUCGGUAGGAAGGGGUAAAAUCCUUUGAUCUAUUGAUGACCACCUGUGGCGAAGGCGGUCUACCAGAACACGUCCGACGGUGAGGGAUGAAAGCUGGGGGAGCAAACCGGAUUAGAUACCCGGGUAGUCCCAGCCGUAAACCAUGCAAACUCAGUGAUGCAUUGGCUUGUGGCCAAUGCAGUGCUGCAGGGAAGCCGUUAAGUUUUGCCGCCUGGGAAGUACGUACGCAAGUAUGAAACUUAAAGGAAUUGGCCGGGGAGCACCACCAAGGGUGAAGCCUGCGGUUCAAUUGGAUUCAACGCCGGG
RNAcentral lists this ribosomal RNA (915 nucleotides) under uncultured archaeon. RNAcentral's name for it is "bacterial SSU rRNA". It matches the Rfam family "Archaeal small subunit ribosomal RNA", at positions 1 to 922 of the family's 1478-position model. The record is from RNAcentral.